CCUACGGUGCACAGCAGUCGAGAAUCAUUCACAAUGGGGGAAACCCUGAUGGUGCGACGCCGCGUGGGGGCAUGAAGGUCUUCGGAUUGUAAACCCCUGUCAUGUGGGAGCAAAUUAAAAAGAUAGUACCACAAGAGGAAGAGACGGCUAACUCUGUGCCAGCAUCCGCGGUAAUACAGAGGUCUCAAGCGUUGUUCGGAAUCACUGGGCGUAAAGCUUGCGUAGGCUGUUUCGUAAGUCGUGUGUGAAAGGCGCGGGCUCAACCCGAGGACGGCACAUGAUACUGCGAGACUAGAGUAAUGGAGGGGGAACAGGAAUUCUCGGUGUAGGAGUGAAAUGCGUAGAUAUCGAGAGGAACACUCGUGGCGAAGGCGGGUUCCUGGACAUUAACUGACGCUGAGGCACGAAGGCCAGGGGAGCGAAAGGGAUUAGAUACCCUGGUAGUC
RNAcentral lists this ribosomal RNA (446 nucleotides) under uncultured bacterium. RNAcentral's name for it is "partial 16S ribosomal RNA". It matches the Rfam family "Bacterial small subunit ribosomal RNA", at positions 338 to 795 of the family's 1533-position model. The record is from RNAcentral.